This 120-nucleotide ribosomal RNA is filed under the name Thinopyrum intermedium. The record is from RNAcentral. Lineage: Eukaryota; Viridiplantae; Streptophyta; Magnoliopsida; Poales; Poaceae.
GAUGCCGAUCAUACCAGCACUAAAGCACCGGAUCCCAUCAGAACUUCGAAGUUAAGCGUGCUUGGGCGAGAGUAGUACUAGGAUAGGUGACCUCCUGGGAAGUCCUCGUGUUGCAUUCCC